Molecule: ribosomal RNA, 220 nt
Filed under: Salmonella enterica subsp. enterica serovar Mbandaka
Lineage: Bacteria; Pseudomonadati; Pseudomonadota; Gammaproteobacteria; Enterobacterales; Enterobacteriaceae
Also listed under: 2 other names
Description: partial 16S ribosomal RNA
Rfam family: Bacterial small subunit ribosomal RNA
Source: RNAcentral
AAAUUGAAGAGUUUGAUCAUGGCUCAGAUUGAACGCUGGCGGCAGGCCUAACACAUGCAAGUCGAACGGUAACAGGAAGCAGCUUGCUGCUCGGGUGACGAGUGGCGGACGGGUGAGUAAUGUCUGGGAAACUGCCUGAUGGAGGGGGAUAACUACUGGAAACGGUGGCUAAUACCGCAUAACGUCGCAAGACCAAAGAGGGGGACCUUCGGGCCUCUUG